CCUACGGGGGGCAGCAGUGGGGAAUAUUGGACAAUGGGCGAAAGCCUGAUCCAGCCAUGCCGCGUGUGUGAAGAAGGCCUUCGGGUUGUAAAGCACUUUCAGUGGGGAAGAAAGCCUUGGGGCUAAUACCCUCGAGGAAGGACAUCACCCACAGAAGAAGCACCGGCUAACUCCGUGCCAGCAGCCGCGGUAAUACGGAGGGUGCGAGCGUUAAUCGGAAUUACUGGGCGUAAAGCGCGCGUAGGCGGUCUGAUAAGCCGGUUGUGAAAGCCCCGGGCUCAACCUGGGAACGGCAUCCGGAACUGUCAGGCUAGAGUGCAGGAGAGGAAGGUAGAAUUCCCGGUGUAGCGGUGAAAUGCGUAGAGAUCGGGAGGAAUACCAGUGGCGAAGGCGGCCUUCUGGACUGACACUGAUGCUGAGGUGCGAAAGCGUGGGUAGCAAACAGGAUUAGAUACCCGAGUAGUC
RNAcentral lists this ribosomal RNA (465 nucleotides) under Vreelandella stevensii. RNAcentral's name for it is "partial 16S ribosomal RNA". It matches the Rfam family "Bacterial small subunit ribosomal RNA", at positions 338 to 795 of the family's 1533-position model. The record is from RNAcentral. Lineage: Bacteria; Pseudomonadati; Pseudomonadota; Gammaproteobacteria; Oceanospirillales; Halomonadaceae.